CUCUAGCCAUGAGUAUCCAACUCCAAGUGGCCCAAAUCUAAUCAAAUCAAUUACAUAACGUAAAUAUAGCUACAAGCAACUAAUUUAGCUAAUGGAAUCAAAGCUAAGGCAAGAAAAUAGAAAACUCCCAAAAAGUCUCCCCGGGCCCACGUCUCGAAUUCGGGCAAAAGUCAUAAAAUAUGAAUACUCUUUCACUCACAAGUCCAACCAUACCACAAUUAGCCAAUUCCGAUCACAACUCGACCUUCAAAUUCCUAUUUUAUGGUUUAUGAAGUUUCUACAAAUUUUCCCCAAUUUCCAUCUCAAAGUAUGAAUUAAAUGAUGAAAUUCGUGAUAUAUUCAUGUAUAUUAACUAAAUCCGAGUCAAAAUAACUUACCUCGAUGAAUUUCUUGAAAAGCCCAUAAAAACUCAUCUCAAAACGAGUUCCCAAAAUCCAAAAAUGAAAUAAAACCCUGAAUCUCGGGUUUAUAUAGUGCCCUCUAAACCUCUACUGUGCGGUCCGCAUAAUUCCGUUGCGGCCGCACUCUGCCAAUCACUGCGGUCCGCACAAUUCUGCUACGGUCGCACUCCUCUCCUGCAGUCCGCACCAUUUUGGUGUUGUCCGCACUCCCAAGAGCAUCCGAUCCAUAUUAGAGUGCCGAACCUAUCAAAUCACAUCUGAUAGACCUCAAAUUUUACACACAAGUCAUAAUUAUCAUUACGAACCUAUUUCAACUUUCAGAAUCAGAUUCUGACUCCGAUAUCAAAAGUUCACUACCGGUCCAAAAAUUCUAAGACUUAAGCCUCCAAUUAGGUACUAAGUGUCCCAAAACACUCUAGAACUCUAAACGAAUCAUCCCGGCAAGUCACAAUAGCAGAAAAUAGAUACGGGGAAGCAGUUUAUAGGGGAUCGGGGCGUAAAUUGUCAAAACGACUAGCCGGGUCAUUACAUCCUCCCCCUCUUAAAACAUUCGUUCAUCCUCAAACGAGUAUAGAGACAUACCUGAAGUGGUGAAAAAAUGAGGAUAACGGCUGCACACAUCCUGCUCGAUCUCCCAAGUCACCUCCUCGAUCGGCUGACACCGCCACUGAACCUUUACUGAUGCAAUGUUCUAUGACCUCAGCUUUCGAACCUGUUUGUCCAAUAUAGCCACUAGCUCCUCAACAUAAGAUAAAUCCUUGUCCAAUUGGACUGAACUAAAAUCCAACAUGUGAGACAGAUCGCCGUGAUACCUCCGGAGCAUCGAAACAUGAAAUACCGGAUGAACUCCUGCCAAGUUGGGAAGUAAGGCAAGCUCAUAAACAACCUCCCCAACACGCCUCAACACCUCAAAGGGGCUAAUAAACCUUGCGCUCAACUUGCCCCUCUUUCCAAAUCUCAUAACACCCUUUAUAGGCGAAACCCGAAACAAGACCGGCUCUCUAACCAUAAAUGAAACAUCACGAACCUUCCGGUCUGCAUAACUUUUUUGUCUGGACUUUGCAAAGUCAAUCCUGAAUCACCUUAACCUUCUCCAAAGUGUCCUGAACCAUAUUUGUGCCCAAUAAUCUAGCCUCGCUCGGCUCGAACCAACCCACUGGGGACCUACACCGCCUACCAUACAGAGCCUCAUACGGUGCCAUCUAAAUGCUGGGUUGAUAACUGUUGUUGUAGGAAAAUUCCGCAAAUGGCAAGAACUGAUCCCAAGAAACUCUGAACUCCAUCACACACGCACGGAGCAUAUCCUCAAGAAUCUGAAUAGUGCACUCAGACUGUCUAUCCGUCUGGGGGAGAAAUGUUGUGCUCAACUCCACCUGAGUACCCAACUCAUGUUGUACGGCUCUCCAGAAUCGUGAUCUAAAUUGCAUGCCCCGGUUAGAGAUGAUAGAUACCAACACGCCAUGAAGUCUGACAAUCUCAUGGAUAUAAACUCGACCCAGCUGCUCGGAAAAGUAGGUAGUCAUUACCAGAAGGAAAUGAGCCGACUUGGUCAGCCUAUCUACAAUCACCCAAACUGCAUCAAACUUCUGCUGAGUCUAUGGGAGUCCAACAAUGAAAUCCAUAGUGAUCUGCUCCCAUUUCCACUCUGGAAUCUCUAAAUUCUGAAGCAAUCCACCUGGUCGUCGAUGCUCAUACUUCACCUGCUGGCAAUUUAAACACCGAGCAACAUACUCUAUGAUGUCCUUCUUUAUUCUACGCCACUAAUAAUGUUGUCUCAAGUCCUGAUACAUCUUUGCGGCACCCCGAUAAAUAAAGUACCAUGAGCUGUGAGCCUCCUGAAGAAUCAACUCACGCAAACCAUCAACAUUAGGCACACAUAGCCUGCCCUGCAUCCUCAAUGCACCAUCAUCCCCAAUGGUAAACUCCUUAGCAAUCACCGUGCUGAACUGUGACCCCAAGGACAAGCAGAUGGGGUCAUCAUACGGACGCUCCCUGAUAUGAUCAUAAAGAGAAGACCGAGAGACCAUACAAGCCAAUACUCGAAUAGACUCAAAAAUAUCCAAUCUCAUAAACUGGAUAGCUAAGGCCUGAACAUCCAAUGCCAUGGGCCACUCUGUUGUAGGUAGAUAAGCCAAAUUCCCCAAACUCUCUACCCGGCAACUCAAAGCAUCAGCCACCAUAUUGGCCUUCCCCAAAUGGUACAAAAUAGUGAUAUCAUAAUCCUUAAGUAGCUCUAACCACCUUCUCUAAUGCAAAUUAAGAUCCUUCUGCUUGAACAGAUGCUGCAAACUCCGAUGAUCAGUGUAGAUCUCACAAGGGACACCGUACAAAUAGUGCCUCUAAACCUUCAAGGCAUGAACAAUAGCGGCUAACUCAAGGUCGUGGACAGGAUAGUUCUUUUCGUGCACCUUCAAUUGUCUGGACGCGUAGGAAAUCACCCUAUGGUCCUGCAUCAAUAUCGUGCCAAGGCCAACUUGCGACGCAUCACAAUAGACUGUAUAAGACCCUAACCUGUAGGCAAUAUCAAUACUGCGACUGUAGUUAAAGUUGUCUUGAGCUUUUGAAAGCUCUCCUCACACUCUUCCAUCCACUUGAACGGAGCACCCUUCUGGGUCAGCCUGGUCAUAGGUGUUGUAAUAGAUGAGAAUCCCUCAACAAACCGACAGUAAUAACACGCCAAACCAAGAAAACUCCAGAUCUAUGUAGCUGAGGAUGGUCUAGGCCAGCUCUGCACUGCUUCCACCUUCUUCAGAUCCACCUUAAUCCCUUCACUCGACACUACGUGACCCAAGAAUGCCACGAAAUCCAACCAAAACUCACAUUUUGAGAACUUUGCAAAUAAUUUCUUUUCUCUCAAGGUCUGAAUCACUGUCCUCAGGUGCUGCUCAUGAUCUUCUCGACUCUGGGAGUACACCAGAAUGUCAUCAAUAAAGACAAUGACGAACGAGUCAAUAUAUGGUCGGAAUGCACUGUACAUCAAGUGCAUAAAUGUUGAUGUGGCGUUGGUUAGCCCAAAUGACAUAACAAGGAACUUAUAAUGACCAUACCGAGUCCUAAAAGCUGUCUUCAGGAUAUCUGGCUCCCGAAUCUUCAACUGAUGAUGACCUGAACGCAAAGCAAUCUAGGAAAACACUCGAUCACCCUGUAACUAAUCAAAUAGGUCAUUAAUACGAGGAAAAGGAUACCGGUUCUUCACUGUAACUUUGUUGAACUAGCGAUAAUCAAUGCACAUACGCAUAGAACCAUCCUUUUUCUUCACAAACAAGACAUGAGCACCCUAAGGUGACACAAUGGACGAAUAAAGCCCUUAUCAAGCAUCUCCUGUAACUGUUCCUUCAACUCUUUCAACUCAGGAGAAUCCAUACGAUAAGGAGGAAUAGAGAUGGGCUGAGUGUUUGGUAAUAAAUCAAUGUUAAAAUCAAUAUCUCUGUUGGGCGGCAUGCCCGGAAGAUCAACCGGAAACACAUCAGGAAAAUCACGCACCACUGGGGCUGAAUCAAUUGUAGGAGUAUCAAUACUGACAUCUCUCACAUAAGUUAGAUACGCGUCACACCCCUUUUCAACCAUUUGCUGAGCUUUAAGAAAUGAAAUAACUCUACUGGGAGUGUAAUCUAAAGUACCCCUCCACUCUAAUCGGGGUAAACCUGACAUAGCCGGCAUCACGGUCUUGGCAUGACAAUCAAGAAUAGCAUAAUGGGGCGACAACUUGUCCAUGCCCAAGAUAACGUCAAAAUAUACCAUGCUGAGCAAUAAUAAAUCGGCUCUGGUCUCAAAAUCCCUAAGAGCAAUCAAACAUGACCGAUAAACGUGGUCCACAACAAGAGAAUCUCCCACAGAAGUAGACACAUAAAUAGGGGAACUCAAAGAAUCCUGAGAUACGUCCAAAUAUAGGGCAAAAUAAAAGGACACAUAGGAAUAAGUGGAGCCUGGAUCGAAUAGAACUGAAGCAUUUCUAUGACGGAUCGGAACAAUACCUAUAAUGACAGAAUCGGUAGCAACAACCUCUGUACGGGCAGGAAGGGCAUAGUAUUUGGCCUGGCUUGGCCUCCCCCUCUAGGGCGACCUCUACCUCCCCGACCUCCACCUUUAGCUGGCUGAGCAGGUGUGGUGGCAGCAGGUAUUGUGAUUGUCACACCUCCUUUUUCUACCUCGAAAGGGUUAUAAGGGAGUUUUUUCCAAUGUAAGUGACAAUCGAAAUGGGAUUAUUUAUAUUAAAUUUAGAGUCGCCACUUGGGAUAAUUUAUGGUAUCCCAAGUCACCGGUUUAAAAUUCCGAAUCGAGGAAGUUUGACUCUAUUUACGGUCUGCGAAUGCAGAAAUCCAGGUAAGAAAUUAUGUUAACCCGGGAGAAUGUGUUAGGCAUUCCCGGGUUCCAUGGUUUUAGCACGGUCUCUUUGAUCAUACUUGGCUUAAUCAAAUUGUCUAAUUACUCAUUUUUAGAACCUAUGUGCAUUUGCCUCUUUUAAUUAAGAAAUUAUCUUAAAACAGGUCACGCGUACGUGUACCCAUUUGUUUGGCAUGUUAAAAAUCAUGUCACGCGAACAUGUCCACAAUUAGUAAUGUUUUAUUAUUAUUAAGAAAGUUUAGUCAAAGUUGCACGAACGUAUACUCCAAUUUGUUUUUAGGACUGUAAUUAUGUCACGUGAACAUGUACUCGAUCAUGAUCAUAUAUGCUAGUUAUUCACACUUAGAAAUGUUUAACACUGACUACUUUAUCUGUUGAGCUAUUUUGAUAUCCAUUAAUUGUAAAAGAUGGUCUAACUUACAACUUGUUACCCUAAUGGUUUGUUGUUAAAGUUAUUAAUCUAGUUUCUCGCAAAUUUCAGCAAAACCAAACCUUAAACUCACUUAAAACCCCAAUUAAAAUAUAAAAAACAGAAGGGUUCGAACUACAAAGACGAUACGUAUCCAUAAGAGAUUCGAAAAUAGAAUUUGGCGUAACACCCAUGUCAGAUAAAUGCCUCAAAAUUGACUUAACAUUGUCAUGGAAUCAAAUAAUUACACAAAAUUGACUAACACAGUCAAUAAAUGAAACAAGCGAUGAAUAGGAGAAAAAGAGUGACCUGAAUUACUUUCAAUUUUUCAAAGAAACAUGCUGCCUGUUUACAAAGAAACUCAUGCCGAUGAAGCUAGACACGGACAAACCCGACCGGAAACCUCAACGAAACAACCUCGGACUUCAACAGUAUCUCAAUCACGAUUUCAAAACAAAUUGAAUGGACAAUAUCUGAAAUAAGCCAAGCGAAGCUUGAAACCAGAUGCAAGUUCCUCUCAUGCUCACAAAGCUCAACUAGUUUGCUGCUAUCCCUUUCUCGUUUAUGUACAUGUGUGUGGCUGUGUGUGAGUAUUUUUUGACGAGCUAUGGUAAAGAGAAGGAAGAGUAGCGAUGGGUGUUAGAGAAUGGUCGAGAUUCGGCCGGCUGCUUAAGGUCGUUCGCAUUUUUUCGGCGAGCUGGUGAGAUUGAGUGAAAAAGAAAGUCCAUUACUGUUGUUAGGGUCAUCAGCGUGGUGGUCACUGGUUAAUGUUGCUGAAGCUUAGGGGUGUUCAUGGAGUUCUGCUGUUGUCCCUUAUUUGUGAAGAAGAUAAUGAGGGUUUUUUGUUUGUUUGCUGCUCAAGAUCGGGUCUCGAGAAGAUGAAGCUCAACGGUUGCUUAUGGUUUGUAGAGGAAGCAGAAGCAACGCUGGAGGAAGUCAUGUGUUUAUGGCUACUGCAGCUGAAAGGUCUUAUUUUUUAUUAGGGUUCUUUAGUGUUCUCCAUGAAGAAGAUGAAGCUAGGGUAACGGCGUCUUAGAUUGUAUAGGUCUGAUGCUUCAAGGGUCUCUUUUUAUUCAAAACGGCAGAUAGAUUUUCAGUCUUUAGGUUCUAACACUGAAAAAGGAGAUGCAAUGCUGGGGGUGCCUAUUGUGUAUUGCGACGGAUCUGAUCUUA
RNAcentral lists this long non-coding RNA (6327 nucleotides) under Nicotiana tabacum (common tobacco). Its description in RNAcentral is "long non-coding RNA (NTAB_LNC011594)". Lineage: Eukaryota; Viridiplantae; Streptophyta; Magnoliopsida; Solanales; Solanaceae. The record is from RNAcentral.